RNAcentral lists this ribosomal RNA (1044 nucleotides) under uncultured bacterium. RNAcentral's name for it is "bacterial SSU rRNA". It matches the Rfam family "Bacterial small subunit ribosomal RNA", at positions 9 to 1095 of the family's 1533-position model. The record is from RNAcentral.
GAGUUUGAUCAUGGCUCAGAACGUACGCUGGCGGCACGCCUAACACAUGCAAGUCGAACGAAGUAGCAAUACUUAGUGGCAGACGGGUGAGUAACAUGUGGGUAUCUGCCCUUUGGCCUGGAAUAACACGAGGAAACUUGUGCUAAUACCGGAUAAGUCUUUACGGAGAAAGCUUUAUGCACCAUUGGAUGAGCCCGCACUUGAUUAGUUUGUUGGUGGGGUAAUGGCCUACCAAGACUGUGAUCAAUAGCUGAUUUGAGAGGAUGAUCAGCCACAUUGGGACUGAGACACGGCCCAAACUCCUACGGGAGGCAGCAGUGGGGAAUCUUGCACAAUGGAGGAAACUCUGAUGCAGCGAUGCCGCGUGAGUGAAGAAGGCCCUUGGGUUGUAAAGCUCUUUCGUCGGGGAAGAAAAUGACUGUACCCGAAUAAGAAGGUCCGGCUAACUUCGUGCCAGCAGCCGCGGUAAUACGAAGGGACCUAGCGUAGUUCGGAAUUACUGGGCUUAAAGAGUUCGUAGGUGGUUGAAAAAGUUGGUGGUGAAAUCCCAGAGCUUAACUCUGGAACUGCCAUCAAAACUUUUCAGCUAGAGUAUGAUAGAGGAAAGCAGAAUUUCUAGUGUAGAGGUGAAAUUCGUAGAUAUUAGAAAGAAUACCAAUUGCGAAGGCAGCUUUCUGGAUCAUUACUGACACUGAGGAACGAAAGCAUGGGUAGCGAAGAGGAUUAGAUACCCUCGUAGUCCAUGCCGUAAACGAUGUGUGUUAGACGUUGGAAAUUUAUUUUCAGUGUCGCAGCGAAAGCGAUAAACACGCCGCCUGGGGAGUACGACCGCAAGGUUAAAACUCAAAUGAAUUUGACGGGGACCCGCACAAGUAGUGGAGCAUGUGGUUUAAUUCGAAGAUACGCGCAGAACCUUACCAACACUUGACAUGUUCGUCGCGACUUUAGAGAUAAGUUUUCGUUCGGCCGGACGAAACACAGGUGCUGCAUGGCUGUCGUCAGCUCNUGUCGUGAGAAUGUUUGGGGUUAAGUCCCCGCCAACGA